AUUCAACGGCCACGGUCCUUUGACCGUGCAAAGGUAGCAUAAUCACUUGUUUUUUAAAUAAAGACUUGUAUGAAAGGCAAGACGAAAGCUUGACUGUCUCCUUUGUCUAAUCUACGAAACUGAUCUUCCUGUAAAAAAGCAGGAAUAAUACCGUAAGACGAGAAGACCCUAUGGAGCUUAAGACAAAACAUAAUCACUAUACCACUAGCACGAACUUAUCCACGUCUUCAGUUGGGGCGACUACGGAGCACAAAAACCCUCCGCGAACCAUUUGCUAAUGUCACAAACUAACGCACCAAGACACUAAACAAUUGAUCCAAUAUUAUUGAUCAACGAACCAAGCUACCCUAGGGAUAACAGCGCAAUCUUCUUUUAGAGUCCAUAUCAAUAAGAAGGUUUACGACCUCGAUGUUGGAUCAGGGUAUCCAGACAAUGUAGCCGUUGUCAUAGGUUUGUUUGUUCAACAAUUAAAACCC
This 476-nucleotide ribosomal RNA is filed under the name Caecilia tentaculata. RNAcentral describes it as "partial 16S ribosomal RNA". It matches the Rfam family "Bacterial large subunit ribosomal RNA", at positions 1922 to 2596 of the family's 2925-position model. The record is from RNAcentral. Lineage: Eukaryota; Metazoa; Chordata; Amphibia; Gymnophiona; Caeciliidae.